UUAUCACGUCCUACGGGAGGCAGGCUAGUGGGGAAUAGUUGCACAAUGGGGGAAACCCUGAUGCAGCCAUGCCGCGUGUGUGAAGAAGGCCUUCGGGUUGUAAAGGCAACGUUUUCAGUAGGGAGGAAAGGUAGUGUAGUUUAACACCUGCAUUAUUUGACGUUACCUACAGAAGAAGCACCGACUAACUCCGUGCCAGCAGCCGCGGGUAAUACGGAGGGUGCGAGCGUUAAUCGGGAAUUAACUGGGCGUAAAGCGCAUUGCAGGCGGCCUGUUAAGUACACGGAUGUGAAAGCCCCGGGGCUUAACCUCGGAAUUGCAUUUGAAAACUGGCAGGCUAGAGUCUUGGUAGAGGGGGUAGAAUUUCAGGUGUAGCGGUGAAAUGCGUAGAGAUCUGAAGGAAUACCAGUGGCGAAGGCGGCCCCCCUGGACAAAGACUGACGCUCAGAUGCGAAAGCGUGGGGAGCAAACAGGAUUAGAUACCCUGGUAG
Molecule: ribosomal RNA, 491 nt
Filed under: uncultured bacterium
Lineage: Bacteria
Description: bacterial SSU rRNA
Rfam family: Bacterial small subunit ribosomal RNA
Source: RNAcentral